GCUGGCUCUGAUUGUGGUAGGACCCUCAAUCGAUCUUCUCUACCUUCAGACCGGCAUUGAAUGAAUCUGUUGAGCCGACUUCGUCUGAUGAGCUCCUCGAUUUUGUCUUGGAGUUGAAUACACUCCUCCGUGUUGUGGUCGUGGUUACGAUGAUAAAGGCAGAACUUGUUAGGGUUGCACUCUUUGAGGUGUGUGCGCAUCCUUUCCGACCUCGACAGUUGCUCCCUGAUCUCCAUCAGCACUUGAGUUUUUGGAGCAUUAAGAGGGGCGUAGCUGUGGAAUCUUUCUGGGGGAGAGCUCCGUCGAACUCUGCAGUCCAGACUUCUCUGCCUAUGAGCUC
RNAcentral lists this long non-coding RNA (340 nucleotides) under Elaeis guineensis (African oil palm). Its description in RNAcentral is "long non-coding RNA (EGUI_LNC074429)". The record is from RNAcentral. Lineage: Eukaryota; Viridiplantae; Streptophyta; Magnoliopsida; Arecales; Arecaceae.